Long non-coding RNA from Mobula hypostoma (lesser devil ray), 572 nucleotides. RefSeq lists it as uncharacterized. NCBI's taxonomy places the organism in Eukaryota, Metazoa, Chordata, Chondrichthyes, Myliobatiformes, Myliobatidae. The transcript is spliced from 3 exons. The record is from RefSeq and is a predicted model, not a curated record.
GGAACUCAGCAGAUCAGGCAGCUUCCGGUUAAGAUGGCGCUACUGAAUGUGUGCAACAGCUUCUAGUAGCCAAAAAGGAUGUUAUUCUUUCUUGCAUGUCUGGGAGUCGGGAAUUCGCAGGUCUUUUGCCGGGGAGAGAUGAGGAGAGAAGACGCAAUUGGAGAGAGUUGGUAGACCGCCGGAGUGGACUUGGAGUGAAGGUCCGAAGGUCAGCGAUGACCGGAGGAGGUCGAUGGUGGACGAACAGCCUUAUCACAGGCCAGGCAGCAGAUUGACACUCCAUUCCUAAUCCCAUUUGGAGAUCCACUUCACUGGAAAGACUUAUUCUGCAUUGCCACCCAGUGGAUUUUGAAUGAAGCUGCAUACUGAUUAAAAACAGUUCAAAGUUCAAAGUCAAUUUAUUAUCAAACUAAAUACCAUAUACUACCCUAAGACUCAUUCUCUUGCAGAUGUUCACAAUAGAACCAAUGAAAAACUACACACAAUAAAGACAACUAAUGCACAAAAGAAGAUGAACUGUGCAAAUACAACAAAAGAUAAUAAAUUAAUAAAUAGUACAUGAGUUGUAGAGU